AAAAAGAAAAAAGAAAAAGAAAAAAAUAAAAGACUGUUGCAAUACUGCAAGCUACAGUUGAAGGUCACUUGACUAGGAAGGUAGCGAGGGAGAUGGAGAAAAGUGUAUGAAUUCAGGGUUGAUUUUGAAGGCAGAGCCUACAGGACCUGCUGGAUUGCCUGUGUAGGGAAGGACUUAAGCAUGAUUCCGAGUUGGGAGGCUGCAUGCUCAGUGGAUGGUCCUAUCCUUUACUGAGUUUGGGGAAACUGGAAAGGGAGCAUGUUUGGAAGACAGUGGGGAAUCAAGAGUUCUGUCUUAGCUGGGAUUUAGGAAAGGGGAUGGAUAUAAAUUUUUGUCAAUCGACGGUGGAGUUUAGGGUCCAUUGGGAAGACAGGCUUUGGGCUGGAGAAAUGAGGGUUUGGAUUCAAGAUGGGGGAGGUGAAGGAAGAAGGAUCUGGCUUAGGAUUAUGAGCACUACGUUUAAGGACAAGCCCUGACUUACCCGUGAGGUACUCAGUUGUGUCCUCAUCCUUCUGUGGAAAAUUGGGAAAAGAGCAGUGUCUGAAGGUGAUGGUUGAUUUCAGUACAGGGAUCAUCGGAGUGUCCUUAUGGAGCCAAGCAGGGCCAAGAAGGCGUCAGGUGGGGAAAGACCUUCCAUGCAAGAUGAACAGGGUGGCAACUCAACUCUUUGCCUCUUCAGGAACUGGAGCUCUGCUAUCGAAGCCCUGGAGAAGACCAGCUGUUCUCGGAGUUCUACGUUGGCCACUUGGGAUCAGGGAUCAGGCUGCAAGUGAAAGACAAGAAAGAUGAGACUCUGGUGUGGGAGGCCUUGGUGAAACCAGGAGCGGCACAAAGAGAAGAGGACAGAACAAAAGUAACCAAAUCUAUUCUCUCUGAGGAAGACCAUAUGUAGAGAGCAGAGGUCUGUGUGUGUGAAAGAAAACAGGGAAGAGGAUGAAAAUGUCCAGAGUGGUGAGCUCUGCUAGGCCCUGGAAUGAAGCUGAGAUGCUGGAAGCGCUAAGUUCUCUCUAGUGGGAGAAAAACCACUGUGGAAAGCUAAUCAUUUGAUGUAGAACCUCACCAAUGACCAGGAAGAAGCAAUCAGUGCCCAGCUAGGCUAAACUGGGCCUGCGAUAGGGUGUGAGUAGGGCCAGCUUCCUGGAAGUGCAACCUGUGCAAUGGCAGUAGGCCCCCAUGCUUGGGGUUUAAUGCGUGGCAGUCACUGCCUUGAAACUCUUAAUAAUUGUAUCUUUGAAUUUGUGCUUUGUAAGUGAAGUUUGAUGGGACCUGGAGCAUGCAUAGGGGCAGGAAGGGAGGGUAGGGGGGCUUGGAGCCACAGCUCAUGUGGAAUCCCACCUGCCAGGUGCCACCUCACAGCCCCCAGACAGGUUCUUAGCUUCCCACUGUCUGCCCCGUGGAGCCCCAGGCUUUACUCAGCCUCCCCUUCUCUGCCUUGCUCAGCAACCACUGCUACCCCUAACCCCAGCAGGGGACUGAGUGGAGCACAGGGAUGAUGAGCAUUGGAUGUGAGCUCCCAGAAGCCUCUCAGGGUGGGGCAGGCAGCUGACCCUGCACUGGGCUAGAAGUGCCACAGCACCUUCAGCAGGUGACUAGGCUUAUCCAGGCACAUCCUAGUGUAGAGGUUGCAAUACACUUGCAGGUUUCCCAUCAACUGUGGGUCUGGGUAGAGGACCUGUGGAAAGGGGAGAUUCCUGGCUUGACUUCCCUUCUCCCAGCCAGGGCAUGCACAGAAAUUAGAAGUUGGCAGGAGAGGAAUUCGGCAGCCAUGGUUUCCAGGAUAACAAACAGCUGUAGCCCAGGCAGCAGAGAUUCCCGGAAGGUCCUUCUCUCCCACCCACCCACUGACACAUACACACCACCACCACCACCACCACCACCACCACCACCACCACCACCACCACCACCACCACCACCAAAGCCUGUUUCCUCAGCUGGGCAUGAACACUUCGAGCUAAAAGUGGCCUUUGUGAAUUUUGCCUCUUGCUCUGUGUACACAUUCUAAAGGGAACAAGUCUGUUUUGCUGCAGGGUGAGGCCCAGAAUGCGGCCUGGGAAAGGCUAACAGGGCACAGUCUUUGAUGGUGAGCAAGCCUGGGGUGGGUAGCUGAGGGGAUUGGGAGGUAUACCUCUUACCCUUGGGUCAGAGAGAUGUGGGUUAGAACCCCAGCAGUCAGUGUUUUAUUCUAUUCUAUUCUAUUCUAAUUUUUUUGAGACAGAGUCUCAGUCCAUCACCCAGGCUGGUGUGCAGUGGUGUGAUCUCAGCUCACUGCAACCUCCGCCUCCUGGGUUCAAGCGAUUCUCGUGCCUCAGCCUCCCAAGUAGCUGGGAUUACAGGCAUGUGCCACUAUGCCUGGCUAAUUUUUGUAUUCUUAGUAGAGAGGGGGUUUUGCCAUGUUGGCCAGACUGGUCUCGAACUCCUGACCUCAGGUGAUCCACCUACCUCAGCCUCCCAAAGUGCUGGGAUUACAGAUGUGAGCCACCACACCCGGCCCCCAGCAGUCAGUAUUAGUGGCAGAUUUUAGAUUCCUUCACCUCUCAGCCUCAGUUUCCUCAUUGGAACAUUGGAGAAAAUACUGGUGCCUAAUUUAGGGGGUCAUGAAAAUUAAGUGAGACCAUCUCUGCAGAAGUGUUGAGCACAGUUCCCAGCACACAGUCGGUGGCCAGUGAUUGGCUGCUGCUGCUGCUGCUGCUGCUGCUAUCAUCCAUGUGUGUCCUAGGAUUCCUCAUAGAGGGGGUCACCAACAUGAUCAACUGGCCAUUGUCCGGAUCCAGGCUUUGGCCUGGCAGACUCAAAUCUCUGAUUCCUAUUGACUCAGACAGUGUAUCUUUCUUCCAGAGGCAAAUACCCCUAAAUGGAUGAAGGAAACCUAUCAAAGUAUAGCACCUGAGAAAAGAUCCCCCUAGAAGAGGCCUCUCUCACCUCUGAGAGGGGUAUGUACUCUGGGCAGGUCCCAGAAGCAGGAGCUAAAGGUAGCCUUUGUCCAUUCAGGGUUUUUUUUGGUUUAUUCUGGCUCCAGGCCCUGGACUCAUGAGGUUUUUCCUGGAACACUCUGGUGUCGAGCAGAGUGUGAAGUUGUAGCUUGGGAUCUUCCAGUAUCUGUCCUGUCAGGGAUGUCUAGUGGUCCUGAAGUCCCUGGCCUGGGACGAAGUUAGCUCUUGUUGCUGGGCAUAGGCAUAGCUUGCACCAGGAUGAGGCCAUGGAGUCAGCCAAGCUCUCUCAAUUCCUGACAGACAGAACCCCCAGGGGUCACCUGGGCUGGGACCAGCACUGUUUUGUGAUAUAUUCAUUUCUGUACAGGUAGACCAGGUAAAAAAUAAUAAGGUGUCCUAGAGACACCUGGGCCUCUGCUGUCUGAGCUCCGGAUUUAGCCUCACAUCUUCUCAAUAUGCAAAGGACCCUGCAGUUACUAAAGCAUUUUUAACACCUGCACUCCUCACUGACACCCAGCUCCUCCCCAAUAAGCCUUUGCAUGGUUCUGCCCGAGACCCUCUUGGUUACUGAGACUUCCCCACUACCUACUCCCACUUAAACUGCAUAGGUAGGUUUGGGUGACUUUCUCAAUGCCACAGCCUUACGUAAAGCUCUUCCAUCCCACUCUACACACCCUUCCAUUCCACCUUGAAAACCCUCUCAUUGCACCCUACACACCCUUUCAUUCUAGCCUUACACCCUUCCAAUCAUCCAUCACACAAUUCCAUUUCACCCUUCACACCCUUCUAUUCCACCUUGAAAACCCUCCCAUUGUACCCUACGCACCCUUUCAUUCUAGCCUCACACCCUUCCAAUCAUCCAUCACACAAUUCCAUUUCACCCUUCACACCCUUCCAGUCCAUUAUUCAUUCACACCAUUUCAUUCCAUUCUUCACGCCAUUCCAUUACAACCUUCAUAUUCUUCCACUCCACCUUACACACCUUAUAUUCCACCCUUGACACUCUUCCAGUCCACUACAUGUCCUUCCGUUUCUCUCUUCACAUCUUCCAUUUCACCCUAAGCAACCUCCCAUUUCACCCUUCACACCCUUCAAUUCCACCCUUCACACCCCUCCAUGACAUCCUUCAAGCUCUUCCAUGCCACCCUUAACAUCCUCUCAUUCCACUUUUCACUCUCUGGUCCUUCCAUGUCCUUCCAUUCUGCCUUCUGCAACCUUCCAUUCCAUUCUUCACAUUCUUUCACUCCACCUAAACCAUACUUCCAUUCCACCCUCCACACCUUUCAAUUUCACCCUUCAUAUACUUCCACCCGGCUUGGCGCAGUGGCUCAUGCCAGUAAUCCCAGCAGUUUGGGAGGCCGAGGCAGGUGGAUCACUUGAGGUCAGGAAGUUCAAGACCAGCCUGGCCAAUGUGGUGAAACCCUGUCUCUACUGCAAAUACAAAAAAUUAGCUGGGCAUGAUGGUGUGGGCCUGUAAUCCCAGGUACUCAGAGGCUGAGGCAGGAGAAUCGCUUGAACCUGGGAGGCAGAGGUUGCAGUGAGCCAAGACCGCUCCACUGCACUCCAGCCUGGACAACAGAGCAAGACCCCAUCUCAAAAAAAAAAAAAA
This 4539-nucleotide small RNA is filed under the name Pan troglodytes (chimpanzee). RNAcentral's name for it is "retained intron". The record is from RNAcentral. Lineage: Eukaryota; Metazoa; Chordata; Mammalia; Primates; Hominidae.